Musa acuminata subsp. malaccensis (wild Malaysian banana) is the source of this 100-nucleotide non-coding RNA. NCBI's taxonomy places the organism in Eukaryota, Viridiplantae, Streptophyta, Magnoliopsida, Zingiberales, Musaceae. The record is from Rfam.
GUUAUGCUACGAUGAAUUAUGAAAUGUAAUCUUCGCAUGUCAGACUUCAGAGAUACUCUCGAUUAUCGAUGAGAAGUCAUUUCAUUCUUCUGAGCAAGUU